AUGCUCCUUAUAAUUUCCUAUGUGUGUUCUAUUGUUUUACAGGUUGAGAAAUUAGGAGAUACCUAUUACCUCUUAAAAAGAAAUGUAGUCCUUGCUGAUACUGGGAAAUAUAUCUGUGUUGCCAGCAAUGAAGUUGGAAAGGCACACUGUUCUGCUGUUGUAACAGUGAUAGAGAAAAAUAAAACCCCAGAAAUUUCCACUGUAACUCAGACUAAAUCAGAAUGGAAAGAUGGAUAUUUUUCAGAAAAAGUGCAUGUCACCACAGGUGAACUACUACAAACCCAGGACACAUUUUAUGUGAGAGAUCAAAGGCCAGUCACUAAACAUCUCCCAUUAAGGUUUAAAGAGAAACUCUGGCUUCAAGGAGUGUAUGUUGAACUUGUGAGGCCAACAGAGGUUAGCUUCAGUUUGGAACAUGAUCCUGUUCUUCUGCGUGCUUCAGAGGAUCAGAUGGACUGAACUACAAAAUACCUGAUUCAUGAGAGCGUUCGUUUUGUUUGCUGUGUCCAUUAUUGGGUGUUGACCAUGUGUGAGGAGAAAAUGAGUCUUUGAGUGCUAUUUGGUUUAUAUGUAGGUUACAAUUUGUAUUUUGGUUUCUCUGUAACUCAUCAUUAAUAAAAAUCCAUCUGUGCACA
RNAcentral lists this long non-coding RNA (635 nucleotides) under Anas platyrhynchos platyrhynchos (common mallard). Its description in RNAcentral is "lncRNA (ENSAPLG00000016874.1)". The record is from RNAcentral. Lineage: Eukaryota; Metazoa; Chordata; Aves; Anseriformes; Anatidae.